RNAcentral lists this ribosomal RNA (411 nucleotides) under uncultured beta proteobacterium. RNAcentral's name for it is "bacterial SSU rRNA". It matches the Rfam family "Bacterial small subunit ribosomal RNA", at positions 9 to 417 of the family's 1533-position model. Lineage: Bacteria; Pseudomonadati; Pseudomonadota; Betaproteobacteria. The record is from RNAcentral.
GAGUUUGAUCAUGGCUCAGGAUGAACGCUAGCGGCAGGCUUAACACAUGCAAGUCGAACGGCAGCACAGGUAGCAAUACUGGGUGGCGAGUGGCGCACGGGUGCGUAACACGUAUGUAACUUGCCUCUGACUGGGAAAUAGCUUCGAGAAAUCGAAAUUAAUGUCCCAUAAUAAAUCGAAAAGGCAUCUUUUUGAUUUUAAAACUCCGGUGGUCAGAGAUAGACAUGCGCUCGAUUAGCUAGUUGGCGGGGUAACGGCCCACCAAGGCGACGAUCGAUAGGGGACCUGAGAGGGGUAUCCCCCACACUGGUACUGAGACACGGUCCAGACUCCUACGGGAGGCAGCAGUGGGGAAUUUUGGACAAUGGGGGAAACCCUGAUCCAGCCAUUCCGCGUGAGUGAAGAAGGCCU